This 1371-nucleotide ribosomal RNA is filed under the name uncultured bacterium. RNAcentral's name for it is "bacterial SSU rRNA". It matches the Rfam family "Bacterial small subunit ribosomal RNA", at positions 28 to 1381 of the family's 1533-position model. The record is from RNAcentral.
GACGACACUUUGGCGGCGUGCCUAAUACAUGCAAGUAGAACGCUGAAGAGAGGAGCUUGCUCUUCUUGGAUGAGUUGCGAACGGGUGAGUAACGCGUAGGUAACCUGCCUUGUAGCGGGGGAUAACUAUUGGAAACGAUAGCUAAUACCGCAUAACAAUGGAUGACACAUGUCAUUUAUUUGAAAGGGGCAAUUGCUCCACUACAAGAUGGACCUGCGUUGUGUUAGCUAGUAGGUGAGGUAAUGGCUCACCUAGGCGACGAUACAUAGCCGACCUGAGAGGGUGAUCGGCCACACUGGGACUGAGACACGGCCCAGACUCCUACGGGAGGCAGCAGUAGGGAAUCUUCGGCAAUGGGGGCAACCCUGACCGAGCAACGCCGCGUGAGUGAAGAAGGUUUUCGGAUCGUAAAGCUCUGUUGUAAGUCAAGAACGGGUGUGAGAGUGGAAAGUUCACACUGUGACGGUAGCUUACCAGAAAGGGACGGCUAACUACGUGCCAGCAGCCGCGGUAAUACGUAGGUCCCGAGCGUUGUCCGGAUUUAUUGGGCGUAAAGCGAGCGCAGGCGGUUUUGAUAGUCUGAAGUUAAAGGCUGUGGGCUCACCAUAGUUCGCUUUGGAAACUGUCAAACUUGAGUGCAGAAGGGGAGAGUGGAAUUCCGUGUGUAGCGGAGAAAUGCGUAGACAUAUGGAGGAACACCGGGUGGCGAAAGCGGCUCUCUGGUCUGUAACUGACGCUGAGGAUCGAAAGCGUGGGGAGCGAACAGGAUUAGAUACCCUGGUAGCCCUCCCCAUAAACGAUGAGUGCUGGGGGGUGGAUCCUUUCCGGGAUUCAGUGCCGCAGCUAACGCAUUAAGCACUCCGCCUGGGGAGUACGACCGCAAGGUUGAAACUCAAAGGAAUUGACGGGGGCCCGCACAAGCGGUGGAGCAUGUGGUUUAAUUCGAAGCAACGCGAAGAACCUUACCAGGUCUUGACAUCCCGAUGCUAUUUCUAGAGAUAGAAAGUUACUUCGGUACAUCGGUGACAGGUGGUGCAUGGUUGUCGUCAGCUCGUGUCGUGAGAUGUUGGGUUAAGUCCCGCAACGAGCGCAACCCCUAUUGUUAGUUGCCAUCAUUCAGUUGGGCACUCUAGCGAGACUGCCGGUAAUAAACCGGAGGAAGGUGGGGAUGACGUCAAAUCAUCAUGCCCCUUAUGACCUGGGCUACACACGUGCUACAAUGGUUGGUACAACGAGUUGCGAGUCGGUGACGGCGAGCUAAUCUCUUAAAGCCAAUCUCAGUUCGGAUUGUAGGCUGCAACUCGCCUACAUGAAGUCGGAAUCGCUAGUAAUCACGGAUCAGCACGCCGCGGUGAAUACGUUCCCGGGCCU